Molecule: ribosomal RNA, 998 nt
Filed under: uncultured bacterium
Lineage: Bacteria
Description: bacterial SSU rRNA
Rfam family: Bacterial small subunit ribosomal RNA
Source: RNAcentral
AUUACGUGCCCAGCAGCCGCGGUAAUACGUAGGGAGCGAGCGUUGUCCGGAAUUACUGGGUGUAAAGGGAGCGUAGGCGGGGUUGUAAGUCUGUUGUGAAAUCUAUCGGCUCAACCGGUAGCUGCGGCAGAAACUACAGUUCUUGAGUGAAGUAGAGGCAGGCGGAAUUCCUAGUGUAGCGGUGAAAUGCGUAGAUAUUAGGAGGAACACCAGUGGCGAAGGCGGCCUGCUGGGCUUUUACUGACGCUGAGGCUCGAAAGUGUGGGGAGCAAACAGGAUUAGAUACCCUGGUAGUCCACACUGUAAACGAUGAUUACUAGGUGUGGGGGGUCUGACCCCUUCCGUGCCGGAGUUAACACAAUAAGUAAUCCACCUGGGGAGUACGACCGCAAGGUUGAAACUCAAAGGAAUUGACGGGGGCCCGCACAAGCAGUGGAGUAUGUGGUUUAAUUCGAAGCAACGCGAAGAACCUUACCAGGUCUUGACAUCGUGCGCAUAGCCUAGAGAUAGGCGAAGCCCUUCGGGGCGCAUAGACAGGUGGUGCAUGGUUGUCGUCAGCUCGUGUCGUGAGAUGUUGGGCUAAGUCCCGCAACGAGCGCAACCCUUGUAUUUAGUUGCUACGCAAGAGCACUCUAAAUAGACCGCCGUUGACAAAACGGAGGAAGGUGGGGAUGACGUCAAAUCAUCAUGCCCCUUAUGACCUGGGCUACACACGUACUACAAUGGCGAGUAAACAAAGGGAAGCGACACGGCGACGUGAAGCGAAUCCCAAAAAAUCGUCUCAGUUCGGAUUGCAGGCUGCAACUCGCCUGCAUGAAGUCGGAAUUGCUAGUAAUCGCGGAUCAGCAUGCCGCGGUGAAUACGUUCCCGGGCCUUGUACACACCGCCCGUCACACCAUGGGAGUCGGUAACACCCGAAGUCAGUAGCCUAACCCGCAAGGGGGGGCGCUGCCGAAGGUGGGAUUGAUGACUGGGGUGAAGUCGUAACAAGGUAGCCG